RNAcentral lists this ribosomal RNA (2924 nucleotides) under Klebsiella quasipneumoniae. RNAcentral's name for it is "bacterial LSU rRNA". It matches the Rfam family "Bacterial large subunit ribosomal RNA". The record is from RNAcentral. Lineage: Bacteria; Pseudomonadati; Pseudomonadota; Gammaproteobacteria; Enterobacterales; Enterobacteriaceae.
GGGUUGUGAGGUUAAGCGACUAAGCGUACACGGUGGAUGCCCUGGCAGUCAGAGGCGAUGAAGGACGUGCUAAUCUGCGAAAAGCGUCGGUAAGGUGAUAUGAACCGUUAUAACCGGCGAUGUCCGAAUGGGGAAACCCAGUGCAAUUCGUUGCACUAUCGUUAACUGAAUACAUAGGUUAACGAGGCGAACCGGGGGAACUGAAACAUCUAAGUACCCCGAGGAAAAGAAAUCAACCGAGAUUCCCCCAGUAGCGGCGAGCGAACGGGGAGCAGCCCAGAGUCUGAAUCAGCUUGUGUGUUAGUGGAACGGUCUGGAAAGUCCGACGGUACAGGGUGAUAGUCCCGUACACCAAAAUGCACAGGCUGUGAACUCGAAGAGUAGGGCGGGACACGUGGUAUCCUGUCUGAAUAUGGGGGGACCAUCCUCCAAGGCUAAAUACUCCUGACUGACCGAUAGUGAACCAGUACCGUGAGGGAAAGGCGAAAAGAACCCCGGCGAGGGGAGUGAAAAAGAACCUGAAACCGUGUACGUACAAGCAGUGGGAGCACCUUUAUGGUGUGACUGCGUACCUUUUGUAUAAUGGGUCAGCGACUUAUAUUCUGUAGCAAGGUUAACCGUAUAGGGGAGCCGCAGGGAAACCGAGUCUUAACUGGGCGUUAAGUUGCAGGGUAUAGACCCGAAACCCGGUGAUCUAGCCAUGGGCAGGUUGAAGGUUGGGUAACACUAACUGGAGGACCGAACCGACUAAUGUUGAAAAAUUAGCGGAUGACUUGUGGCUGGGGGUGAAAGGCCAAUCAAACCGGGAGAUAGCUGGUUCUCCCCGAAAGCUAUUUAGGUAGCGCCUCGUGAACUCAUCUUCGGGGGUAGAGCACUGUUUCGGCUAGGGGGUCAUCCCGACUUACCAACCCGAUGCAAACUACGAAUACCGAAGAAUGUUAUCACGGGAGACACACGGCGGGUGCUAACGUCCGUCGUGAAGAGGGAAACAACCCAGACCGCCAGCUAAGGUCCCAAAGUCAUGGUUAAGUGGGAAACGAUGUGGGAAGGCACAGACAGCCAGGAUGUUGGCUUAGAAGCAGCCAUCAUUUAAAGAAAGCGUAAUAGCUCACUGGUCGAGUCGGCCUGCGCGGAAGAUGUAACGGGGCUAAACCAUGCACCGAAGCUGCGGCAGCGACACGAUGUGUUGUUGGGUAGGGGAGCGUUCUGUAAGCCUGCGAAGGUGACCUGUGAGGGUUGCUGGAGGUAUCAGAAGUGCGAAUGCUGACAUAAGUAACGAUAAAGCGGGUGAAAAGCCCGCUCGCCGGAAGACCAAGGGUUCCUGUCCAACGUUAAUCGGGGCAGGGUGAGUCGACCCCUAAGGCGAGGCCGAAAGGCGUAGUCGAUGGGAAACAGGUUAAUAUUCCUGUACUUGGUGUUACUGCGAAGGGGGGACGGAGAAGGCUAUGUUAGCCGGGCGACGGUUGUCCCGGUUUAAGCAUGUAGGCUGGUUAUCCAGGCAAAUCCGGAUAAUCAAGGCUGAGGUGUGAUGACGAGGCACUACGGUGCUGAAGUAACAAAUGCCCUGCUUCCAGGAAAAGCCUCUAAGCAUCAGGUAACAUCAAAUCGUACCCCAAACCGACACAGGUGGUCAGGUAGAGAAUACCAAGGCGCUUGAGAGAACUCGGGUGAAGGAACUAGGCAAAAUGGUGCCGUAACUUCGGGAGAAGGCACGCUGGUGUGUAGGUGAAGUCCCUGCGGAUGGAGCUGAGACCAGUCGAAGAUACCAGCUGGCUGCAACUGUUUAUUAAAAACACAGCACUGUGCAAACACGAAAGUGGACGUAUACGGUGUGACGCCUGCCCGGUGCCGGAAGGUUAAUUGAUGGGGUUAUCCGUAAGGAGAAGCUCUUGAUCGAAGCCCCGGUAAACGGCGGCCGUAACUAUAACGGUCCUAAGGUAGCGAAAUUCCUUGUCGGGUAAGUUCCGACCUGCACGAAUGGCGUAAUGAUGGCCAGGCUGUCUCCACCCGAGACUCAGUGAAAUUGAACUCGCUGUGAAGAUGCAGUGUACCCGCGGCAAGACGGAAAGACCCCGUGAACCUUUACUAUAGCUUGACACUGAACAUUGAGCCUUGAUGUGUAGGAUAGGUGGGAGGCUUUGAAGCGUGGACGCCAGUCUGCGUGGAGCCAACCUUGAAAUACCACCCUUUAAUGUUUGAUGUUCUAACGUGGGCCCCUGACCGGGGUUGCGGACAGUGUCUGGUGGGUAGUUUGACUGGGGCGGUCUCCUCCCAAAGCGUAACGGAGGAGCACGAAGGUUAGCUAAUCCUGGUCGGACAUCAGGAGGUUAGUGCAAUGGCAUAAGCUAGCUUGACUGCGAGCGUGACGGCGCGAGCAGGUGCGAAAGCAGGUCAUAGUGAUCCGGUGGUUCUGAAUGGAAGGGCCAUCGCUCAACGGAUAAAAGGUACUCCGGGGAUAACAGGCUGAUACCGCCCAAGAGUUCAUAUCGACGGCGGUGUUUGGCACCUCGAUGUCGGCUCAUCACAUCCUGGGGCUGAAGUAGGUCCCAAGGGUAUGGCUGUUCGCCAUUUAAAGUGGUACGCGAGCUGGGUUUAGAACGUCGUGAGACAGUUCGGUCCCUAUCUGCCGUGGGCGCUGGAGAAUUGAGGGGGGCUGCUCCUAGUACGAGAGGACCGGAGUGGACGCAUCACUGGUGUUCGGGUUGUCAUGCCAAUGGCACUGCCCGGUAGCUAAAUGCGGAAGAGAUAAGUGCUGAAAGCAUCUAAGCACGAAACUUGCCCCGAGAUGAGUUCUCCCUGAGACUAUAAGUCUCCUGAAGGAACGUUGAAGACGACGACGUUGAUAGGCCGGGUGUGUAAGCGCAGCGAUGCGUUGAGCUAACCGGUACUAAUGAACCGUGAGGCUUAACCUUACAACGCCGAAG